Molecule: ribosomal RNA, 504 nt
Filed under: uncultured bacterium
Lineage: Bacteria
Description: bacterial SSU rRNA
Rfam family: Bacterial small subunit ribosomal RNA
Source: RNAcentral
AGAGUUUGAUCAUGGCGUCAGAUUGAACGCUGGCGGAAUGCUUUACACAUGCAAGUCGAACGGCAGCACGGGGCGAACCUGGUGGCGAGUGGCGAACGGGUGAGUAAUACAUCGGAACGUGCCCAAUCGUGGGGGAUAACGUAGCGAAAGUUACGCUAAUACCGCAUACGAUCUACGGAUGAAAGCGGGGGAUCGCAAGACCUCGCGCGAAUGGAGCGGCCGAUGUCAGAUUAGGUAGUUGGUGGGGUAAAGGCUCACCAAGCCAACGAUCUGUAGCUGGUCUGAGAGGACGACCAGCCACACUGGAACUGAGACACGGUCCAGACUCCUACGGGAGGCAGCAGUGGGGAAUUUUGGACAAUGGGCGCAAGCCUGAUCCAGCCAUUCCGCGUGCAGGAUGAAGGCCUUCGGGUUGUAAACUGCUUUUGUACGGAACGAAACGGCGAGCUCUAAUACAGUUUGCUAAUGACGGUACCGUAAGAAUAAGCACCGGCUAACUACGUG